This 162-nucleotide ribosomal RNA is filed under the name uncultured bacterium. Its description in RNAcentral is "partial 16S rRNA". It matches the Rfam family "Bacterial small subunit ribosomal RNA", at positions 358 to 511 of the family's 1533-position model. The record is from RNAcentral.
GGAAUCUCCGGCAAUGGACGAAAGUCUGACCGAGCAACGCCGCGUGAGUGAAGAAGGUUUUCGGAUCGUAAAACUCUGUUGGUAGAGAAGAACGUUGGUGAGAGUGGAAAGCUCAUCAAGUGACGGUAACUACCCAGAAAGGGACGGCUAACUACGUGCCAG